RNAcentral lists this ribosomal RNA (1511 nucleotides) under uncultured bacterium. RNAcentral describes it as "bacterial SSU rRNA". It matches the Rfam family "Bacterial small subunit ribosomal RNA". The record is from RNAcentral.
GAGUUUGAUCUGGCUCAUGACGAACGCUGGCGGCGUGCCUAAUACGUGCAAGUCGAACGCUUCUUUCCUCCCGAGUGCUUGCACUCAAUUGGAAAGAGGAGUGGCGGACGGGUGAGUAACACAGUGGGUAACCUACCCAUCAGAGGGGGAUAACACUUGGAAACAGGUGCUAAUACCGCAUAACAGUUUAUGCCGCAUGGCAUAAGAGUGAAAGGCGCUUUCGGGUGUCGCUGAUGGAUGGACCCGCGGUGCAUUAGCUAGUUGGUGAGGUAACGGCUCACCAAGGCCACGAUGCAUAGCCGACCUGAGAGGGUGAUCGGCCACACUGGGACUGAGACACGGCCCAGACUCCUACGGGAGGCAGCAGUAGGGAAUCUUCGGCAAUGGACGAAAGUCUGACCGAGCAACGCCGCGUGAGUGAAGAAGGUUUUCGGAUCGUAAAACUCUGUUGUUAGAGAAGAACAAGGACGUUAGUAACUGAACGUCCUCUGACGGUAUCUAACCAGAAAGCCACGGCUAACUACGUGCCAGCAGCCGCGGUAAUACGUAGGUGGCAAGCGUUGUCCGGAUUUAUUGGGCGUAAAGCGAGCGCAGGCGGUUUCUUAAGUCUGAUGUGAAAGCCCCCGGCUCAACCGGGGAGGGUCAUUGGAAACUGGGAGACUUGAGUGCAGAAGAGGAGAGUGGAAUUCCCAUGUGUAGCGGUGAAAUGCGUACAUAUAUGGAGGAACACCAGUGGCCGAAGGCGGCUCUCUGGUCUGUAACUGACGCUGAGGCUCGAAAGCGUGGGGGAGCAAACAGGAUUAGAUACCCUGGUAGUCCACGCCGUAAAACGAUGAGUGCUAAGUGUUGGAGGGUUUCCGCCCUUCAGUGCUGCAGCAAACGCAUUAAGCACUCCGCCUGGGGAGUACGACCGCAAGGUUGAAACUCAAAGGAAUUGACGGGGGCCCGCACAAGCGGUGGAGCAUGUGGUUUAAUUCGAAGCAACGCGAAGAACCUUACCAGGUCUUGACAUCCUUUGACCACUCUAGAGAUAGAGCUUUCCCUUCGGGGACAAAGUGACAGGUGGUGCAUGGUUGUCGUCAGCUCGUGUCGUGAGAUGUUGGGUUAAGUCCCGCAACGAGCGCAACCCUUAUUGUUAGUUGCCAUCAUUUAGUUGGGCACUCUAGCGAGACUGCCGGUGACAAACCGGAGGAAGGUGGGGAUGACGUCAAAUCAUCAUGCCCCUUAUGACCUGGGCUACACACGUGCUACAAUGGGAAGUACAACGAGUCGCUAGACCGCGAGGUCAUGCAAAUCUCUUAAAGCUUCUCUCAGUUCGGAUUGCAGGCUGCAACUCGCCUGCAUGAAGCCGGAAUCGCAAGUAAUCGCGGAUCAGCACGCCGCGGUGAAUACGUUCCCGGGCCUUGUACACACCGCCCGUCACACCACGAGAGUUUGUAACACCCGAAGUCGGUGAGGUAACCUUUUUGGAGCCAGCCGCCUAAGGUGGGAUAGAUGAUUGGGGUGAAGUC